This 550-nucleotide ribosomal RNA is filed under the name uncultured bacterium. Its description in RNAcentral is "bacterial SSU rRNA". It matches the Rfam family "Bacterial small subunit ribosomal RNA", at positions 365 to 916 of the family's 1533-position model. The record is from RNAcentral.
AUGGCAUGGAGCACUCUGAUCCAGCCAUGCCGCGUGUAGGAAGACUGCCCUAUGGGUUGUAAACUACUUUUAUAGAGGAAGAAAUGGCACUACGUGUAGUGUUUUGACGGUACUCUACGAAUAAGGAUCGGCUAACUCCGUGCCAGCAGCCGCGGUAAUACGGAGGAUCCAAGCGUUAUCCGGAAUCAUUGGGUUUAAAGGGUCCGUAGGCGGGUUUGUAAGUCAGUGGUGAAAGUUUUCGGCUCAACCGGAAAAUUGCCAUUGAUACUGCAAGUCUUGAAUCAUUGUGAAGUGGUUAGAAUGUGUAGUGUAGCGGUGAAAUGCAUAGAUAUUACACAGAAUACCGAUUGCGAAGGCAGAUCACUAACAAUGUAUUGACGCUAAGGGACGAAAGCGUGGGUAGCGAACAGGAUUAGAUACCCUGGUAGUCCACGCCGUAAACGAUGGUUACUAGCUGUUUGGACUUCGGUCUAAGUGGCUAAGCGAAAGUGAUAAGUAACCCACCUGGGGAGUACGUUCGCAAGAAUGAAACUCAAAGGGAAUUUGGCGG